GCAUGGGUUGGAUUUAUGGCAGGCCUUUCCUGCCUUGGGCCUUUCAUAGUGUCCUGUGCCAGAACAAACUGUGGUCCCGAACCAUUGCCUGGCCUCUACCUAUGUGCUACUGGCACUGAAGAGGGUUCCACAGAG
This is a small nucleolar RNA of Perognathus longimembris pacificus (Pacific pocket mouse), 135 nucleotides long. RefSeq annotates it as small nucleolar RNA SNORA42/SNORA80 family. Lineage: Eukaryota; Metazoa; Chordata; Mammalia; Rodentia; Heteromyidae. The record is from RefSeq and is a predicted model, not a curated record. The transcript has a single exon.